Molecule: long non-coding RNA, 390 nt
Filed under: Rattus norvegicus (Norway rat)
Lineage: Eukaryota; Metazoa; Chordata; Mammalia; Rodentia; Muridae
Description: long non-coding RNA NONRATT017345
Source: RNAcentral
CGCAGCUAGGAAGCUGCGUUCACACCAAGACCAGACUUCCAGGGAUGAGACUGGGGAACAGUCCCCUGCCGGAGCUUUCCUGAGCACAGGCGUCAAUCAGGCAGAUGUUUGGCGACUGGAAUGGCGCCAAAUCUCAAAGGCAGACCACGCAAAAAGAAAACAUGUCCCCAGAGAAGAGACUCCUUCAGUGGCUCAAAGGACCCCAACAAUAACUGUGACGGUAAAGUCAUCAGCAAGGUAAGGUGGGUCGUCCACUGGGACUCGUCCUGACUGAGUUUCCACUUUGACCUCUCUGAUAUCUGAUGUCUCGGUGACCGUCCGAGUUCAAUUCAGAAUCUGUCUUUGGCUCUCUCGGCUACUGGACACUUCCCUAGUGGGUGGGGAGGAUCU